ACGGCCAUAUCACGUUGAAACAUCGCUUCUCAAACGAUCACUGAUGCUAAGCAACGUCUAGCCUAGUUAGUACCUAGAUGGGUGACCGCUUAGGAAUACCGGAUACUGCAAG
Molecule: non-coding RNA, 112 nt
Organism: Acanthosepion pharaonis
Lineage: Eukaryota; Metazoa; Mollusca; Cephalopoda; Sepiida; Sepiidae
Source: the annotation of a GenBank genome assembly